This 117-nucleotide small nuclear RNA is filed under the name Centruroides sculpturatus (bark scorpion). Its description in RNAcentral is "U5 spliceosomal RNA". It matches the Rfam family "U5 spliceosomal RNA". From Rfam's summary of the family: U5 RNA is a component of both types of known spliceosome. The precise function of this molecule is unknown, though it is known that the 5' loop is required for splice site selection and p220 binding, and that both the 3' stem-loop and the Sm site are important for Sm protein binding and cap methylation. The record is from RNAcentral. Lineage: Eukaryota; Metazoa; Arthropoda; Arachnida; Scorpiones; Buthidae.
GUGCACGCAAAUUCCCUUCAAUCGAACUAAUCUUUCGCCUUUUACUAAAGAUUACCGUGGAGGGGAGCUUUACAAUUAGCCUAUAGGCAAUUUUUGAAAUCCCGCUUUCCGCGGGAU